RNAcentral lists this ribosomal RNA (523 nucleotides) under uncultured bacterium. RNAcentral describes it as "partial 16S ribosomal RNA". It matches the Rfam family "Bacterial small subunit ribosomal RNA", at positions 356 to 871 of the family's 1533-position model. The record is from RNAcentral.
AGGGAAUCUUCCACAAUGGACGCAAGUCUGAUGGAGCAACGCCGCGUGAGUGAAGAAGGUUUUCGGACCGUAAAGCUCUGUUGUUGGUGAAGAAGGAUAGAGGUAGUAACUGGCCUUUAUUUGACGGUAAUCAACCAGAAAGUCACGGCUAACUACGUGCCAGCAGCCGCGGUAAUACGUAGGUGGCAAGCGUUGUCCGGAUUUAUUGGGCGUAAAGCGAGCGCAGGCGGAAGAAUAAGUCUGAUGUGAAAGCCCUCGGCUUAACCGAGGAAUUGCAUCGGAAACUGUUUUCUUGAGUGCAGAAGAGGAGAGUAGAACUCCAUGUGUAGCGGUGGAAUGCGUAGAUAUAUGGAAGAAUACCAGUGGCGAAGGCGGCUCUCUGGUCUGCAACUGACGCUGAGGCUCGAAAGCAUGGGUAGCGAACAGGAUUAGAUACCCUGGUAGUCCAUGCCGUAAACGAUGAGUGCUAAGUGUUGGGAGGCUUCCGCCUCUCAGUGCUGCAGCUAACGCAUUAAGCACUCCG